This 504-nucleotide ribosomal RNA is filed under the name uncultured bacterium. Its description in RNAcentral is "bacterial SSU rRNA". It matches the Rfam family "Bacterial small subunit ribosomal RNA", at positions 28 to 537 of the family's 1533-position model. The record is from RNAcentral.
GACGAACGCUGGCGGCGUGCCUAACACAUGCAAGUCGAGCGGGGUUGAAGCGAGAGGUAACUCGAACUUCUACCUAGCGGCGGACGGGUGAGUAACGCGUGGGCAACCUGCCUCAAGGUCUGGGAUAACAGCCCGAAAGGGCUGCUAAUACUGGGUAUGCUUGUGGCCUCGCAUGGGGCUAUGAGCAAAGGGGAAACCCGCCUUGAGAUGGGCCCGCGUCCCAUCAGCUAGUUGGUGAGGUAACAGCUCACCAAGGCGACGACGGGUAGCCGGCCUGAGAGGGUGACCGGCCACACUGGGACUGAGACACGGCCCAGACUCCUACGGGGGGCAGCAGUGGGGGAUCUUGCACAAUGGGCGAAAGCCUGAUGCAGCGACGCCGCGUGAGCGAAGAAGGCCUUCGGUUGUAAAGCUCUGUCUGGAGGGACGAAGGAAGUGACGGUACCGUCCGGAGGAAGCCACGGCUAACUACGUGCCAGCAGCCGCGGUAAACGACGAGAGUAA